This 253-nucleotide ribosomal RNA is filed under the name uncultured bacterium. RNAcentral's name for it is "partial 16S ribosomal RNA". It matches the Rfam family "Bacterial small subunit ribosomal RNA", at positions 524 to 776 of the family's 1533-position model. The record is from RNAcentral.
UACGGAGGGUGCAAGCGUUAUCCGGAUUCACUGGGUUUAAAGGGUGCGUAGGCGGGUAUAUAAGUCAGUGGUGAAAGCUCCGAGCUUAACUUGGAAACUGCCAUUGAUACUGUAUAUCUUGAAUAUCGUAGAGGUUAGCGGAAUGUUGCAUGUAGCGGUGAAAUGCUUAGAUAUGUUACAGAACACCAAUUGCGAAGGCAGCUAACUAUGCGACAAUUGACGCUGAGGCACGAAAGCGUGGGGAGCAAACAGG